AUGAGUCUACCGCUUACAAGAAAAGAUCUCAUGAUAGUCAAUAUGGGCCCUCAACACCCAUCAAUGCAUGGUGUUCUUCGACUGAUCGUUACUCUCGAUGGUGAGGAUGUUAUUGAUUGUGAACCCAUAUUAGGCUAUUUACACAGAGGAAUGGAAAAAAUCGCGGAAAACCGAACUAUUAUACAAUACUUACCUUAUGUAACAAGGUGGGAUUAUUUAGCUACUAUGUUUACAGAAGCAAUAACAGUAAAUGCACCAGAAUUCUUGGAGAAUAUUCAAAUACCACAAAGAGCCAGCUAUAUUAGGGUAAUUAUGUUAGAAUUAAGCCGGAUAGCUUCUCACUUGCUAUGGCUUGGACCUUUUAUGGCGGAUCUCGGCGCACAGACUCCUUUUUUCUAUAUUUUUAGAGAGAGAGAAUUAAUAUAUGAUCUAUUUGAAGCUGCUACAGGUAUGCGAAUGAUGCACAGUUACUUUCGAAUCGGAGGAGUAGCCGCCGAUCUACCUUAUGGAUGGAUCGAUAAAUUUUUAGAUUUCUGUGAUUAUUUUUUACGCGGAGUUGUUGAAUAUCAACAACUUAUUACACAGAAUCCAAUUUUUUUAGAGCGAGUUGAAGGAGUAGGUUUUAUUAGCGGAGAAGAAGCAGUAAAUUGGGGCUUAUCGGGACCGAUGUUACGAGCUUCUGGAAUACAAUGGGAUCUUCGUAAAGUAGAUCCUUAUGAGUCUUACAACCAAUUUGAUUGGAAAGUCCAAUGGCAAAAAGAAGGGGAUUCGUUAGCUCGCUAUUUAGUACGAAUUGGUGAAAUGAGGGAAUCCAUCAAAAUAAUUCAACAAGCUGUAGAAAAAAUUCCUGGAGGACCUUAUGAGAAUUUAGAAGUCUGACGCUUUAAGAAAGAAAAGAAUUCUGAAUGGAAUGAUUUUGAGUAUAAAUUUCUUGGUAAAAAACCUUCGCCCAAUUUUGAAUUGUCAAGACAAGAGCUUUAUGUAAGAGUAGAAGCCCCAAAAGGUGAAUUAGGGAUUUAUCUAGUAGGAGAUGAUAGCCUUUUCCCCUGGAGAUGGAAAAUCCGUCCACCCGGGUUUAUUAAUUUGCAAAUUCUUCCUCAGCUAGUUAAAAAAAUGAAAUUGGCUGAUAUCAUGACGAUAUUAGGUAGUAUAGAUAUCAUUAUGGGGGAAGUUGAUCGUUGA
Molecule: ribosomal RNA, 1182 nt
Filed under: Triticum aestivum (bread wheat)
Lineage: Eukaryota; Viridiplantae; Streptophyta; Magnoliopsida; Poales; Poaceae
Description: partial small subunit ribosomal RNA
Source: RNAcentral